CCGGGAUAGCUCAGUUGGUAGAGCAGAGGACUGAAAAUCCUGUGGUAC
RNAcentral lists this transfer RNA (48 nucleotides) under Timmia megapolitana. RNAcentral describes it as "partial tRNA-Phe". Lineage: Eukaryota; Viridiplantae; Streptophyta; Bryopsida; Timmiales; Timmiaceae. The record is from RNAcentral.